CAAUGGUUCAUAGCCAUUAACCAAGCUUUCUCGAAGUUCCCAUCUACGACGCUCUCUUUCAGUUUUCUGUUUCCUAAUUGCUUUACCUAAUAUGCAAGCAAACAUUAUUCCAGUGAACUGAAAAUAAUAAUAUACAAUUAAUUUUCACGUACAGAUAAGUAAAAGAUGUAAUUUGUUAUACAGCAAGAAAUAAAAAAUCUACAUAUAUUUACCUGAAUAAGAGCGAUGGCCACAGCACCAGUACCAAUGUAAAGUACACUUCUGUGAAUGAGAACCGAAAGGUUUCUAACACAUCCUAUUCCGUAGACAUUACAUCCAUCGCCAGUAACAUAAUCACAUGGUAUGUUGUCACUAAAUAUUCCGUGAGGACGACAAGAUUCUGGUAAACGAUCUCCUGUCUCUUUCAUAAUUUCAUCCCAAUCGUGAUAGUCAUUGUAUCCGCAACAAUAAAGCUAUAAUUACCAGAAAAAAAAUUUAUUUAAUGAUUUUACGAUUAUGUAUAAUGUUCAUAGAAAGGUAGUGAUAGUUGUGAUAGAUAUCACAAAAUGCCUUAUUGGCUGAGAUAAAUGCAUUAUGUUAGAACAGGCUCCAAUUAAUAUUACAAACGUUAAAAAUUUGAUGUAUAUUCUGUACAUGGUAAAAAUACAAGCUACCUAUGUACUCCU
Molecule: non-coding RNA, 665 nt
Organism: Megalopta genalis
Lineage: Eukaryota; Metazoa; Arthropoda; Insecta; Hymenoptera; Halictidae
Source: RefSeq, a predicted model, not a curated record